This 418-nucleotide ribosomal RNA is filed under the name uncultured bacterium. Its description in RNAcentral is "bacterial SSU rRNA". It matches the Rfam family "Bacterial small subunit ribosomal RNA", at positions 355 to 765 of the family's 1533-position model. The record is from RNAcentral.
UAGGGAAUAUUGGACAAUGGGGGCAACCCUGAUCCAGCCAUGCCGCGUGAGUGAAGAAGGCCCUCGGGUUGUAAAGCUCUUUUGUCCGGAAAGAAAAGCAUUCGGUGAAUACCCGGAUGUUCUGACGGUACCGGAAGAAUAAGCACCGGCUAACUUCGUGCCAGCAGCCGCGGUAAUACGAAGGGUGCAAGCGUUACUCGGAAUUACUGGGCGUAAAGCGUGCGUAGGUGGUUGUUUAAGUCUGAUGUGAAAGCCCUGGGCUCAACCUGGGAUUGGCAGUGGAAACUGGGCAGCUAGAGUGCGGUAGAGGGCAGUGGAAUUCCGGGUGUCGCAGUGAAAUGCGUAGAGAUCGGGAGGAACAUCUGUGGCGAAGGCGACUGCCUGGACCAGCACUGACACUGAGGCACGAAAGCGUGGG